Molecule: transfer RNA, 71 nt
Filed under: Camelus ferus (Wild Bactrian camel)
Lineage: Eukaryota; Metazoa; Chordata; Mammalia; Artiodactyla; Camelidae
Rfam family: tRNA
About the family: Transfer RNA (tRNA) molecules are approximately 80 nucleotides in length. Their secondary structure includes four short double-helical elements and three loops (D, anti-codon, and T loops).
Source: Rfam by way of RNAcentral
AGGGGUACAGCUCAGCAGUAGAGCACAUGCUUAGCAAGCAUGAGGUCCCGGUUCAAUCCUUAGUACCUCCA